UAGCAUAAUCMUUAGUUUUUUAAUUGAGAACUGGAAUGAAAGGUUAUAUAAAAAAUAAUCUUUAUUUAUUUUAAAAUAUUUGAAUUUGUUUUUUUAGUAAAAAAACUAAAAUAUAUUAAAAAGACGAUAAGACCCUAUAAAGCUUUAUAAUAUAAAUUUUAAUAAUAAGUUAGAAUAUUAAAUAAAUUUUUUUUUUUUUAUUUAAUUGGGGUGAUUUAAAGAUUUAAAAAACUCUUUAAUAAAUAAAUUUCAUAUUUAAAUGUUUUUUGAUCCUUAAUAUUUAAGAGUAAUAAAAUAAGUUACUUUAGGGAUAACAGCGUAAUUUUUUUGAAGAGUUCUAAUCGAUAAAAAAGAUUGCGACCUCGAUGUUGAAUUAAGAUAAAAAUUAGGUGUAGAAGUUUAAUUUUU
This 408-nucleotide ribosomal RNA is filed under the name Micropsectra sofiae. RNAcentral's name for it is "partial 16S ribosomal RNA". Lineage: Eukaryota; Metazoa; Arthropoda; Insecta; Diptera; Chironomidae. The record is from RNAcentral.